RNAcentral lists this ribosomal RNA (379 nucleotides) under marine Metazoa environmental sample. RNAcentral describes it as "SSU rRNA". It matches the Rfam family "Eukaryotic small subunit ribosomal RNA", at positions 587 to 972 of the family's 1831-position model. The record is from RNAcentral. Lineage: Eukaryota; Metazoa.
AGCUCCAAUAGCGUAUAUUAAAGCUGUUGCAGUUAAAAAGCUCGUAGUUGGAUCUCGGGUUUGGGCUUGCGGUCCACCACGUGUGGUUACUGCUCGUCUCGACCUACCUGCCGGUUUUCUCUUGAUGCUCUUAAGUGAGUGUCUCGAGUGGCCGGAACGUUUACUUUGAAAAAAUUAGAGUGUUCAAGGCAGGCGCGUGCCUGCAUAAUGGUGCAUGGAAUAAUGGAAUAGGACCUCGGUUCUAUUUUGUUGGUUUUCGGAACUCGAGGUAAUGAUUAAGAGGGACAGACGGGGGCAUUCGUAUUACGGUGUUAGAGGUGAAAUUCUUGGAUCGCCGUAAGACGAACUACUGCGAAAGCAUUUGCCAAGAAUGUUUUCA